This is a long non-coding RNA of Oncorhynchus tshawytscha (Chinook salmon), 333 nucleotides long. The record is from Ensembl. Lineage: Eukaryota; Metazoa; Chordata; Actinopteri; Salmoniformes; Salmonidae.
UGUAGAGUGGCUAGGUAGCCUAUUGUAGAGUGGCUAGUUAGCCUCUUGUAGAGUGGCUAGGUGGCCUAUUGUAGAGUGGCUAGGUAGCCUAUUGUAGAGUGGCUAGGUGGCCUAUUGUAGAGUGGCUAGGUGGCCUAUUGUAGAGUGGCUAGGUGGCCUAUUGUAGAGUGGCUAGUUAGCCUCUUGUAGAGUGGCUAGGUGGCCUAUUGUAGAGUGGCUAGGUGGCCUAUUGUAGAGUGGCUAGGUGGCCUAUUGUAGAGUGGCUAGGUGGCCUAUUGUAGAGUGGCUAGGUGGCCUAUUGUAGAGUGGCUAGGUGGCCUAUUGUAGAGUGGC